GACGAACGCUGGCGGCGUGCCUAAUACAUGCAAGUUGAGCGCUGAAGGUUGGUACUUGUACCGACUGGAUGAGCAGCGAACGGGUGAGUACGCGUGGGGAAUCUGCCUUUGAGCGGGGGACAACAUUUGGAAACGAAUGCUAAUACCGCAUAAAAACUUUAAACACAAGUUUUAAGUUUGAAAGAUGCAAUUGCAUCACUCAAAGAUGAUCCCGCGUUGUAUUAGCUAGUUGGUGAGGUAAAGGCUCACCAAGGCGAUGAUACAUAGCCGACCUGAGAGGGUGAUCGGCCACAUUGGGACUGAGACACGGCCCAAACUCCUACGGGAGGCAGCAGGAGGGAAUCUUCGGCAAUGGACGAAAGUCUGACCGAGCAACGCCGCGUGAGUGAAGAAGGUUUUCGGAUCGUAAAACUCUGUUGGUGGAGAAGAACGUUGGUGAGAGUGGAAAGCUCAUCAAGUGACGGUAACUACCCAGAAAGGGACGGCUAACUACGUG
RNAcentral lists this ribosomal RNA (496 nucleotides) under uncultured bacterium. Its description in RNAcentral is "partial 16S ribosomal RNA". It matches the Rfam family "Bacterial small subunit ribosomal RNA", at positions 28 to 507 of the family's 1533-position model. The record is from RNAcentral.